CUUCUCACAGUCUGCUUCAGCUUUUUGCCUGCGUUUGAUCUCUACAUCCACUUGAUUGCGAGCGUGUUUCAGCUUCACAUCCAAAGCACUACGCUCAGCUUCACUUUUCAUCAGAAGGUCUUUGUACCUACCAAGCUCCUGCUCAGUUUUCUGCCACUUUCUUCGAUAGUCUUCAAAGUUCUUUGCCAACUGAAUAAAUUGGUACUCGUUUCCUUCACUUAAAACUUCAGCCUGGCGUAUGAGUUGGUCACACAAAUUCCACAGAUUCCGCACUGUGGUAUCCAUCCUCGGUGUCCGAGCUCCCGCUCCAACAGCCGGCCUCAACUGCCC
RNAcentral lists this long non-coding RNA (330 nucleotides) under Gallus gallus (chicken). Lineage: Eukaryota; Metazoa; Chordata; Aves; Galliformes; Phasianidae. The record is from RNAcentral.